RNAcentral lists this ribosomal RNA (693 nucleotides) under Lutibacter sp. RNAcentral describes it as "bacterial SSU rRNA". It matches the Rfam family "Bacterial small subunit ribosomal RNA", at positions 28 to 712 of the family's 1533-position model. Lineage: Bacteria; Pseudomonadati; Bacteroidota; Flavobacteriia; Flavobacteriales; Flavobacteriaceae. The record is from RNAcentral.
GAUGAACGCUAGCGGCAGGCUUAACACAUGCAAGUCGAGGGGUAACAGGGAAAAGCUUGCUUUUUUGCUGACGACCGGCGCACGGGUGAGUAACGCGUAUAGAACCUACCUUUUACAGGGGAAUAGCCCAGAGAAAUUUGGAUUAAUGCCCUAUAGUAUUAUUGAGUGGCAUCAUUUAAUAAUUAAACAUUUAUGGGUAAAAGAUGGCUAUGCGUUCUAUUAGCUAGAUGGUAAGGUAACGGCUUACCAUGGCAACGAUAGAUAGGGGUCCUGAGAGGGAGAUCCCCCACACUGGUACUGAGACACGGACCAGACUCCUACGGGAGGCAGCAGUGAGGAAUAUUGGACAAUGGAGGCAACUCUGAUCCAGCCAUGCCGCGUGCAGGAAGACGGCCCUAUGGGUUGUAAACUGCUUUUAUACGGGAAGAAACCCAACUACGUGUAGUUGGCUGACGGUACCGUAAGAAUAAGCACCGGCUAACUCCGUGCCAGCAGCCGCGGUAAUACGGAGGGUGCAAGCGUUAUCCGGAAUCAUUGGGUUUAAAGGGUCCGUAGGCGGGCUAAUAAGUCAGGGGUGAAAUCCAACAGCUUAACUGUUGAACUGCCUUUGAUACUGUUAGUCUUGAAUUAUAUGGAAGUAGAUAGAAUGUGUAGUGUAGCGGUGAAAUGCUUAGAGAUUACACAGAAUACCGA